GAUGAACGUUGGCGGUGUGCCUAAUACAUGCAAGUCGAACGGAGUUAAUAGCAAUAUUGACUUAGUGGCGAACGGGUGAGUAACGCGUUGGGUGAUCUGCCUCAAAAGUGUGGAAUAACGUUCCGAAAGGAACGCUAAUACCGCAUGUGCUCUCGAUUUUAGAAAGUUGAGAGUAAAGGAUUUAUUCGCUUUGAGAGGAGCCUGCGUCCCAUCAGCUAGUUGGUAGGGUAAUAGCCUACCAAGGCUUUGACGGGUAGGGGACCUGAGAGGGUCGGCCCCCCACAAUGGAACUGAAACACGGUCCAUACACCUACGGGUGGCAGCAGUAGGGAAUAUUAGAAAUGGACGAAAGUCUGAUCUAGCGACACCGCGUGUGCGAUGAAGGCCUUCGGGUUGUAAAGCACUUUUUGGAAGGAAUAGGAAGGAAGGUACUUCCAGAAUAAGUCUCGGCUAACUACGUG
RNAcentral lists this ribosomal RNA (461 nucleotides) under uncultured bacterium. RNAcentral's name for it is "bacterial SSU rRNA". It matches the Rfam family "Bacterial small subunit ribosomal RNA", at positions 28 to 507 of the family's 1533-position model. The record is from RNAcentral.